AAUCUCACGGCUUAACUGUGAGCGUGCGGGCGAUACGGGCAGACUUGAGUACUGCAGGGGAGACUGGAAUUCCUGGUGUAGCGGUGGAAUGCGCAGAUAUCAGGAGGAACACCGGUGGCGAAGGCGGGUCUCUGGGCAGUAACUGACGCUGAGGAGCGAAAGCGUGGGGAGCGAACAGGAUUAGAUACCCUGGUAGUCCACGCCGUAAACGGUGGGUACUAGGUGUGGGUUUCCUUCCUUGGGAUCCGUGCCGUAGCUAACGCAUUAAGUACCCCGCCUGGGGAGUACGGCCGCAAGGCUAAAACUCAAAGAAAUUGACGGGGGCCCGCACAAGCGGCGGAGCAUGUGGAUUAAUUCGAUGCAACGCGAAGAACCUUACCUGGGUUUGACAUGCACAGGACGCCGGCAGAGAUGUCGGUUCCCUUGUGGCCUGUGUGCAGGUGGUGCAUGGCUGUCGUCAGCUCGUGUCGUGAGAUGUUGGGUUAAGUCCCGCAACGAGCGCAACCCUUGUCUCAUGUUGCCAGCGGGUAAUGCCGGGGACUCGUGAGAGACUGCCGGGGUCAACUCGGAGGAAGGUGGGGAUGACGUCAAGUCAUCAUGCCCCUUAUGUCCAGGGCUUCACACAUGCUACAAUGGCCGGUACAAAGGGCUGCGAUGCCGCGAGGUUAAGCGAAUCCUUUUAAAGCCGGUCUCAGUUCGGAUCGGGGUCUGCAACUCGACCCCGUGAAGU
Molecule: ribosomal RNA, 730 nt
Filed under: uncultured bacterium
Lineage: Bacteria
Description: bacterial SSU rRNA
Rfam family: Bacterial small subunit ribosomal RNA
Source: RNAcentral